AAGAGAAGCUCUGUCUUCUUCUGAACAGAUUGGGGAAGGAGACAGUGCUGCUACUGUUACACUUUCUGAGAACUGUCUCAGGAAUGAAAAUAUCAGAACAAGGUUGAAAACCCAUGUGAAAAAAUGCAUUUUGGAAGGUGGGACUUGAUCAGAUCAGGGUCUGCUGUGAAGUUGGGAUCUGCCAAGAGAAUUUUGAGUAAGUAAAAGAAGAACUUUAUAAAGAAAAUAAAAGAUGAACUAUAUUGUUAGAAGAAAAAAAGGAUAGAAAAAGUACCACUCCAGCAUUGGUUUUUCUGUUCUUUCACGUAGACAGGAAGGUAUGGAUUUGAUGAUGACAAGUGAAGAGAAGGGUGUCUGAAAAUUAUGACUUUGUUGGACAUGUAAAUAUUACAUGCUGGAUUGAGAAAGCAUUCUCUUAUUUAUAGUUGGUUUUGCAGAAGAGAAAAGCUUGUUGCUGAAAAGAAAAGGAAAUUUUUAGAUGAAGCAUUGGGAUCAAUUUAAAGAAGUUCACAUGGGAGCUUGUGACCGUUUGAUGAAUCACGGGGUUCCUUGGAGGCUUG
RNAcentral lists this long non-coding RNA (560 nucleotides) under Lotus japonicus. RNAcentral describes it as "long non-coding RNA (LJAP_LNC002122)". Lineage: Eukaryota; Viridiplantae; Streptophyta; Magnoliopsida; Fabales; Fabaceae. The record is from RNAcentral.